AUGGUCAUCGACAUUUCACAUUCUAUUCACAAUCAGUGAUAUUGUUCAUUCGGAUUUAAUGAUCAGGUAUAGGAGGGUUGUAACAUUGUGAUUUAAUGAUCAGGUUAUAGGAGGGUUGUAAUGUUGUGAUUUAAUGAUCAGGUUAUAGGAGGGUUGUAACAUUGUGAUUUAAUGAUCAGGUUAAAGUUAUAGGAGGGUUGUAAUGUUGUGAUUUAAUGAUCAGGUUAAAGUUAUAGGAGGGUUGUAACAUUGUGAUUUAAUG
Salvelinus sp. IW2-2015 is the source of this 262-nucleotide non-coding RNA. The record is from RefSeq and is a predicted model, not a curated record. Lineage: Eukaryota; Metazoa; Chordata; Actinopteri; Salmoniformes; Salmonidae.